GGCGGCAUAGUUCAGUUGGUUAGAACACUCGGUUCAUACCCGGGAUGUCGUUGGUUCGAGUCCAAUUGCCGCUACCA
RNAcentral lists this transfer RNA (77 nucleotides) under Oscillospiraceae bacterium. RNAcentral's name for it is "tRNA-Met". It matches the Rfam family "tRNA". Rfam says of the family: Transfer RNA (tRNA) molecules are approximately 80 nucleotides in length. Their secondary structure includes four short double-helical elements and three loops (D, anti-codon, and T loops). Further hydrogen bonds mediate the characteristic L-shaped molecular structure. tRNAs have two regions of fundamental functional importance: the anti-codon, which is responsible for specific mRNA codon recognition, and the 3' end, to which the tRNAs corresponding amino acid is attached (by aminoacyl-tRNA synthetases). tRNAs cope with the degeneracy of the genetic code in two manners: having more than one tRNA (with a specific anti-codon) for a particular amino acid; and 'wobble' base-pairing, i.e. permitting non-standard base-pairing at the 3rd anti-codon position. The record is from RNAcentral. Lineage: Bacteria; Bacillati; Bacillota; Clostridia; Eubacteriales; Oscillospiraceae.